AUUGAACGCUGGCGGCAGGCCUAACACAUGCAAGUCGGACGGUAGCACAGAGGAGCUUGCUCCUCGGGUGACGAGUGGCGGACGGGUGAGUAAUGUCUGGGGAUCUGCCCGAUAGAGGGGGAUAACCACUGGAAACGGUGGCUAAUACCGCAUAACGUCGCAAGACCAAAGAGGGGGACCUUCGGGCCUCUCACUAUCGGAUGAACCCAGAUGGGAUUAGCUAGUAGGCGGGGUAACGGCCCACCUAGGCGGCGAUCCCUAGCUGGUCUGAGAGGAUGACCAGCCACACUGGAACUGAGACACGGUCCAAACUCCUACGGGAGGCAGCAGUGGGGAAUAUUGCACAAUGGGCGCAAGCCUGAUGCAGCCAUGCCGCGUGUAUGAAGAAGGCCUUCGGGUUGUAAAGUACUUUCAGCGGGGAGGAAGGCGAUGUGGUUAAUAACCGCGUCGAUUGACGUUACCCGCAGAAGAAGCACCGGCUAACUCCGUGCCAGCCGCCGCAGUAA
This 506-nucleotide ribosomal RNA is filed under the name uncultured bacterium. Its description in RNAcentral is "partial 16S ribosomal RNA". It matches the Rfam family "Bacterial small subunit ribosomal RNA", at positions 29 to 523 of the family's 1533-position model. The record is from RNAcentral.